AGUGAAGCGGCAACAGCUCAAAUUUGAAAUCUGGCUCCUUUGGGGUCCGAGUUGUAAUUUGUAGAGGAUGUUUCGGGUGCGGCGCCGGUCUAAGUCCCUUGGAACAGGGCGUCAUAGAGGGUGAGAAUCCCGUAUGUGACCGGCGACCAACCCCAUGUGAAACGCCUUCCACGAAUCGAGUUGUUUGGGAAUGCAGCUCAAAAUGGGUGGUAAAUUUCAUCUAAAGCUAAAUACCGGCCAGAAACCGAUAGCGCACAAGUAGAGUGAUCGAAAGAUGAAAAGCACUUUGGAAAGAGAGUUAAAAAGUACGUGAAAUUGUUGAAAGGGAAGCGCUUGCAACCAGACCUGUCUGCGGGCGAUCAACAGUCGUUUCGGCUGUGUACUCSUCCGUAAUCAGGCCAGCAUCGGUUUGGGCGGUCRGAUAAAGGCCUCGGGAAUGUGGCUCCCUUCKGGGAGUGUUAUAGCCCUUGGCGKAAUACGGCCAGCCUGGACCGAGGACCGCGCUUCGGCUAGGAUGCUGGCGUAAUGGUUGUAAGCGGCCCGUCUUGAARCACSGACCAAGGAGUCUAAUAUCUAUGCGAGUGUUUGGGUGUURAACCCAUGCRCGUAAUGAAAGUGAACGUAGGUGGGAACCCUUUAGGGCGCACCACCGACCGAUCCUGAAGUUUACSGAUGGAUUUGAGUAAGCAUAGCUAUUGGGACCCGAAAGAUGGUGAACUAUGCCUGAAUAGGGUGAAGCCAGAGGAAACUCUGGUGGAGGCUCGCAGCGGUUCUGACGUGCAGAUCGAUCGUCAAAUUUGGGUAUAGGG
This 809-nucleotide ribosomal RNA is filed under the name Cliomegalaria symmictoides. RNAcentral describes it as "partial large subunit ribosomal RNA". The record is from RNAcentral. Lineage: Eukaryota; Fungi; Ascomycota; Lecanoromycetes; Lecanorales; Ramalinaceae.